This 77-nucleotide transfer RNA is filed under the name Candidatus Zambryskibacteria bacterium RIFCSPHIGHO2_01_FULL_35_32. Its description in RNAcentral is "tRNA-Ile". It matches the Rfam family "tRNA". From Rfam's summary of the family: Transfer RNA (tRNA) molecules are approximately 80 nucleotides in length. Their secondary structure includes four short double-helical elements and three loops (D, anti-codon, and T loops). Lineage: Bacteria; Candidatus Zambryskiibacteriota. The record is from RNAcentral. RNAcentral also lists the same sequence under 1 other name.
CCGUCCUUAGCUCAGUUGGUUAGAGCACGGAGCUUAUACCUCCGGGGUCCUAGGUUCGAAUCCUAGAGGACGGACCA